AUACGUAGGGUGCGAGCGUUGUCCGGAAUUACUGGGCGUAAAGAGCUCGUAGGUGGUUUGUCGCGUCGUCUGUGAAAUUCCGGGGCUUAACUCCGGGCGUGCAGGCGAUACGGGCAUAACUUGAGUACUGUAGGGGAGACUGGAAUUCCUGGUGUAGCGGUGAAAUGCGCAGAUAUCAGGGGAACACCGGUGGCGAAGGCGGGUCUCUGGGCAGUAACUGACGCUGAGGAGCGAAAGCAUGGGUAGCGAACAGGAUUAGAUACCCUGGUAGUCCAUGCCGUAAACGGUGGGCGCUAGGUGUAGGGGUCUUCCACGACUUCUGUGCCGUAGCUAACGCAUUAAGCGCCCCGCCUGGGGAGUACGGCCGCAAGGCUAAAACUCAAAUGAAUUGACGGGG
Molecule: ribosomal RNA, 397 nt
Filed under: uncultured bacterium
Lineage: Bacteria
Description: partial 16S ribosomal RNA
Rfam family: Bacterial small subunit ribosomal RNA
Source: RNAcentral